This is a long non-coding RNA of Oryza sativa Japonica Group (Japanese rice), 469 nucleotides long. RefSeq lists it as uncharacterized. The record is from RefSeq and is a predicted model, not a curated record. NCBI's taxonomy places the organism in Eukaryota, Viridiplantae, Streptophyta, Magnoliopsida, Poales, Poaceae.
AUGUUGUGUUCACCAAUCGACGAGCUCAUCGAGAAAUGGGGGAGUUUAUAUAUGGUUCAAUGCGUGUGGAAUUCAGAGGAAAGCUGGGGCGGCUAAUGAUUUUGCGAGGAAAUUGGGCGGGAGAACGUGUGGGUCAGGACCGACCACGGCAGGUUAGUACAGUAUGAUUCAUUGAUGUGGCCGGUGCUCCCAGCGCCACGGCGUCGAUCGAUCGAUCAUUCCAUCGCACGUUCCAACCAACCCAAUCAAUCAUCGACCCUGGAAUCUGGAUAAGCACUAAUAAUAGUAUUAUCAUCGACUCUUUUUUUUUUCUUAUCUUGAUGAUACAAAACUGAGAGAAUCACAGUGCACAUGUAGGAGUGCUACAACUUUUAAAGUAAACAACAAUGAUUUAAUUAAGUAUUUGUUUUGUGUACUCUAGCCAAGAGAAAAGAAAUAGUAAAGGAAAAGGGAGAAGUCAACGCCUAAA